This 262-nucleotide non-coding RNA is filed under the name Drosophila persimilis. RNAcentral's name for it is "Eukaryotic small subunit ribosomal RNA". It matches the Rfam family "Eukaryotic small subunit ribosomal RNA", at positions 57 to 313 of the family's 1831-position model. The record is from Rfam by way of RNAcentral. Lineage: Eukaryota; Metazoa; Arthropoda; Insecta; Diptera; Drosophilidae.
GUCUACGUACACACGAAUUAAAAGUGAAACCGCAAAUAGGCUCAUUAUAUCAGUUUAUGGUUCCUUAGAUCGUUAACAGUUACUGGGAUAAGUGUGGUAAUCCUAGAGCUAAUACAUGCAAUUAAAUCACGGACAUUAUGGGACGUGUGCUUUUUUUAGGCUACACCCAAGCGAUGGUCAGAUUGUUCCAUUGGCAGAUCUCUAUCUUACACGCGGCUCCUACGCUCUGGUCCGGACGACAGAUCUUUCAAAUGUCGAAGGG